Scatophagus argus is the source of this 997-nucleotide long non-coding RNA. RefSeq lists it as uncharacterized. The record is from RefSeq and is a predicted model, not a curated record. NCBI's taxonomy places the organism in Eukaryota, Metazoa, Chordata, Actinopteri, Scatophagidae. The transcript is spliced from 3 exons.
CUCUGCCUGUCACUCUUUUAAGGUGUUGGAACUGAUGCACUGCUCAGGGCUUCAUCACUCCACAACAGGAUCAUAUUGGAACCAUAAAAAUGCCGUACAGCCACUGGUGGUUAUUGUGAGCAGGAGGUGAGAUAACCGGUAGAAGAAUAAAGAUUCAAGUGUGCUGGCAGUCGGGAAAAUCUCAUCUGACACGACGGGCCAACACGCCCCGACUGCUCUGCAACUUUCCGCUGACUCACCUCAGUAUCAGGUCAACUUGGAGAUGAACUUUAAAGGAAGAUGUAACAAAUGAUUGCAGCCUCUCAGGCAAUUCAUAUCUGCUGAAGAGCCAUAACCCUCUACAUAUCCUGACCUCAAUUUGGAGUCUCUGUGUUGAAGGCCCAUCUGAGUGGAGAUGGUAUCGAUCUGAGCAGGGACUCUGGCAGUGUCAAUAAACAACAGGCUUCAGCCUUCAAGGCUGAAGAGACACAUCUCUAUUUCAGCUGGAGGGUUCGCCUCUGGAUACCUGACGUGGGGCGUGUCCCUGGACAGACGGUGGGACAUGUUUUUCUUGCUGAACUCACAGCAUGUAUAACCACUUUUUGAGACUAAAGUCAGUGACAUCUUCUCUACAGUCAGUUCUGUCAAGGUAAAUGACAAGCACAAGCUCAGGCAUUUUUACUUUGAAUAAUUACCAUUAAUGUUAAGGUGCAUUGUAAAUAGAAAGCUACCAAGGAGAAGUCAAUAUCUGCGAGAACGAUCAAUGCGUAACCAGCAGACAAAUAGUAUUUCAAGAUCUUCUAUAUCAGCAUUGCAGUGAAGAAAGACAGUGCUGACUUUGGCUCCUCAAUCAAUAAACACAACAAUCCAGCCAAUACUUUUGACACAGAGUAAUGAAAUAAUAAUCAGAGGAGGAGAAAGAAGAGGAAGAAGAAACAAACACAGGCUGCAUUUUGGACACUUAGUUACACACGAAAACAGAUGUAGAUCAAAAAUAAAACUAUAAUAAAUGUAAUAA